GCCUUGAUGACACAAAAUAGAGAAGGUUUAAACAAGUUUAACAUGAGAUUAAUAUGUAUUAUGUCAUACAUCAAGAGGUCAAUAUGUCUUAUGUCAUACAUCUAGAGGUCAAUAUGUCUUAUGUCAUACAUUCAGAGGUCAAUAUGUCUUAUGUCAUACAUCUAGAGCUCAAUAUGUCUUUGUCAUGCAUCUAGUGGUCAAUAUGUCUCAUGUCAUACAUCUAGAGAUUAAUAUGUCUUAUUUUAUACAUCUAAAACUCAAUAUGUCCUUUGUCAUGCAUUUAGUAGUCAAUAUGUCUCAUGUCAUACAUCUAGAGCUCAAUAUGUCUUAUGUCAUACAUAUAGUGGUCAAUAUGUCUUAUGUCAUACAUAUAAUAGGUCAAUAUGUCUUAUAUCAUACAUCUAGAGCUCAAUAUGUCUAAUGCCAUACAUCUAAUGGUCGAUAUGUUUGAUGUCAUAGAAUUAAGCAUGAUACACCACUUUUCUUUAUUUAUUAGUGCCAAGAGUAAAC
Molecule: long non-coding RNA, 510 nt
Filed under: Mytilus galloprovincialis (Mediterranean mussel)
Lineage: Eukaryota; Metazoa; Mollusca; Bivalvia; Mytilida; Mytilidae
Source: RNAcentral